Molecule: long non-coding RNA, 1271 nt
Organism: Lycium ferocissimum
Lineage: Eukaryota; Viridiplantae; Streptophyta; Magnoliopsida; Solanales; Solanaceae
Exons: 2
Source: RefSeq, a predicted model, not a curated record
UAAAUCUAUCCAUGUGUCAUCCGUAAUUAGCUGUGGCAAAAAGAAAAUACGAGGACACAAGUAAAAUUUUCCACCAUCCCUAUUUUUUACCCCACACCUACGUGGAAUGACUCAUCAAUUCAUUUUCAAAGACCACUUUUUGUUAUGCAAAGUCGAGAACUUAUGGGACAAAUAGCCAAUUCUUGUCAUGCAUGAUUUCUUCUUCGCUUUGCACGUAAAUCUCAAAUACAAUGACCUUACGAUCUCAUUCUCCUAAACAACCUUCCAUUUUAAACGCUUUUCUUGAUUUCUCAUCUGCAUUGCAUCCUGUUAAUUUUUUCUUGCAUCUCAACCCUAAAGAAGACGACGAAAAACAUUUCGUCAAACAAAGAGAUCUUGUUUUCAUAAACUCCAUUGGAGAGGGAGGAACAAUUUAAAUGAACAUAAAAGUAGAAGGAGAUUAAAAAGAGGAUAAUUGGAAAAAGGGAAGAGAAAGAAAUAUAAAGGAAGAGGUGUUUGUAGAGACAAAAAACGAGUAACUUUCUCCAUUUUGUAAAUCUCGCAUUCUGCAUUUUUAUUAUUAUUGUCAAUUGAAGAGAGAAGAAUAAUGAAUGAGAGGGAGGGGGAUCUGAGGGUUCCUCUAAUCUCUUUCUUGUUAUGUAUUUGUGUACUUAUUGGUGGAAUUUUCCUAUUUCUUUACCUAUUUGUGCCAAAUCUUUCACAACCUUGGUUUCCUCCAAUAGCACUAAUCUUGAUUGGAUUUCCAUGGUUACUUUGGCUGCUAACAUACAUUUACACAUGCAUAAAGAGAUGUUUUGGAAUGAGCAGUACCGAUAAUCGCCAAAUUUCUAGACGAGCAUCGAGAGCACCUACAAUGGCAAAUUCUGGAAUGGCCAGAAAUGGUUCAAUGGCAAAUAAUAAUGAUGGAAAACAGGUACAAUUUGGGGCUGCAUCUCUCAACUCCUCUCAUGGCAGCAAAAGUGCAGAUGCAUCAUCCAUCAACUCCUCCCAAGAAAUUGAAAUGCCUUUAACCACAUCAGCUCCUUCUUGAUAUAUAUAUAUACAUAUUCGGAUAAUGACUACAAAAACUAGAGCUCAUGGCUGCAUUUAUCAGCUGAAACUUGUAAACGUUCGCUUUUGACGAUGAUUUUAAUGACCACAUUAAGAGCUUUGCAGAUAAUGAAGAUGAUAAUGGUGAAUGUAAGUAGAAAUGGUACAAAGGGAUUUGUUUGUGUUUCUGCAUGUAAAGAUUGAAUCUGAAAAAGAAAAAAAAUAGCGUUGUUGUUAGGUAA